GGGAGCUGGGGCUGCUUCUUCACGAAAAUAUACGCCUAUACACACGCACACAGUACAAACACACACAUAUACAACAGAGGGGACGCCUGGGAAUUGGGGGUAAGGGCUGGCGGCAGUGCUUCACAAAACACACACACACAAUAUACAGAGACACGAAGAGAAGGGCGUAGCUGGGGCGGGGCUUCUUUUGAAAAAUAUACACACAAUACAUGCUGAUACACAACAGAAAAAAGCUGCGCAGCUUUUGGAAAAAGACCCCCACCCCCUGGUGAUCGUCUUCUUCGACGAACCAGACGACCCCUGCUGUUUCUUCCAUUUUUUCAUUUCACGACAGCACCGAUAAACACGCACACACGUACAACUGACUGGGAAUACAGCAGAAACAGUGACAAUACAUGAGAGUUUUCCAGUCGUCGAGCCGUUGAGGUCGUCACCGAAGUUCCGCUCAUCGAUCUCUGUUCGUUUCCAAAUCUGUUUGCUUCCGCCUGAGCUAAUCUUUUGCUGGCUUAUGCUUCGAAGUUCCACUCAUUGUUCUCGGUUCGUUUCCAAAUCUGCUCGCUUCCGCCUGAGCUAAUCUUUUGCUGGCUUAUGUUGCUUGUGUAAUUGCUGAACACUUCCGCUAAAUUGGAAGCUUGAUUUUCAGGUUCAUAAUCUAUUUUUCCCAUAUCAUUUAAUUUUGUUGGAUUUCCGUUACAUGUACUAUGUUUUACUUUCAUGCCUAAGGUCUGUGCUUUCGAAUUUAUUUUUCUUGGAGAUAGAUUGCGAUGUGAUGUGAUUUUUCUGAUGACUGAGUUAGUGUUCGAAUCCGUCGAGCCUCACAUGAAUAUACCGUAUGUUGGAUUGGUUUUCUUGGUUGAAUUUCAAUUGAGUCGAGUUUGAAGUUAUCCUAACUCACUUGUCGAUGUAGAUGUUAGUGGUAAAACGACUUACUGCCUGUAUUGAGGAAACAUUAGUUUUGGAAAACAACCCUACUGCUUGAAUGAAUGAGAGUG
RNAcentral lists this long non-coding RNA (992 nucleotides) under Nicotiana benthamiana. Its description in RNAcentral is "long non-coding RNA (NBEN_LNC033504)". The record is from RNAcentral. Lineage: Eukaryota; Viridiplantae; Streptophyta; Magnoliopsida; Solanales; Solanaceae.